Long non-coding RNA from Tigriopus californicus, 606 nucleotides. RefSeq lists it as uncharacterized. The transcript has 2 exons. The record is from RefSeq and is a predicted model, not a curated record. NCBI's taxonomy places the organism in Eukaryota, Metazoa, Arthropoda, Copepoda, Harpacticoida, Harpacticidae.
GAUCACAAAAACAUUGGAUGUUCGUUUGACGCUACACAAAAACAUGAUCCGUGAAAUAAUAUACACGGCCGGCCAAGGUCUCGAAGGACAAUCAAGACCUUAUAUACAUUCGGUCUCCUCGCCGUGCCAAGAGAUUCGAACCGGCUUUUGAAUGCAAUUGCAUUAGCAUAUCAAUGCUUGCCAGAUCGUAUUACUCAGGAUAUGUUCCAAUGAUUCCUUACGACGGCCUAGCUGUGGUCCGAUGGAUAUGUAAGUCAGGUAUCAACCUGAUUUACAAACAGAAUCCAAGAGCUUAGUCUGGUCUCUUUGCGACCCAUUCGAUUCAUAGAAGCCUCUUUUACAUCACAUGUUCUCUUUGUUCCAAUCAAUAAUUCCGGAGCCAUCUGCUCCCCCAAUGCAAUGUACCAAAUUGCAAGUCCCGCUGAAAUGAGCGUGUCGAAUUCACCUCGCCGUCUCUCAUAUUUCAAACUUUUCCCCUCAAAACGCUCGGCCCAUUUCGGAAAUCAUGGCUUUCCUUCUUCAGAUUCGUGGGACGAAGCGAGUUUUUUAAUGAUGAUGUAUGCCUUGGCACUUGGUGCGAAAAAAAAUAUAUGUGUAUAAAGUGAA